This 337-nucleotide unclassified non-coding RNA is filed under the name soil metagenome. RNAcentral describes it as "partial contains 5.8S ribosomal RNA, internal transcribed spacer 2, and large subunit ribosomal RNA". The stretch from base 1 to 120 matches the Rfam family "5.8S ribosomal RNA", at positions 35 to 154 of the family's 154-position model. The record is from RNAcentral.
GAUGAAGAACGCAGCGAAAUGCGAUAAGUAGUGUGAAUUGCAGAAUUCAGUGAAUCAUCGAAUCUUUGAACGCACAUUGCGCCCCUUGGUAUUCCAUGGGGCAUGCCUGUUCGAGCGUCAUUUGUUCCUUCAAGCUCUGCUUGGUGUUGGGUGUUUGUCUCGCCUCUGCGUGUAGACUCGCCUCAAAACAAUUGGCAGCCGGCGUAUUGAUUUCGGAGCGCAGUACAUCUCGCGCUUUGCACUCAUAACGACGACGUCCAAAAGUACAUUUUUACACUCUUGACCUCGGAUCAGGUAGGGAUACCCGCUGAACUUAAGCAUAUCAAUAAGCGGAGGA